RNAcentral lists this ribosomal RNA (325 nucleotides) under uncultured bacterium. RNAcentral's name for it is "bacterial SSU rRNA". It matches the Rfam family "Bacterial small subunit ribosomal RNA", at positions 28 to 334 of the family's 1533-position model. The record is from RNAcentral.
GACGAACGCUGGCGGCGUGCCUAACACAUGCAAGUCGAACGGGGCUCUUUGGAUCGAGACUUCGGUCAAGUGAAUCUGAGCUUAGUGGCGGACGGGUGAGUAACGCGUGAGCAACCUGCCUUUCAGAGGGGGACAACAGUUGGAAACGACUGCUAAUACCGCAUAAGCCCACAGCUCGGCAUCGAGCAGAGGGAAAAGGAGUGGUCCGCUUUGAGAUGGCCUCGCGUCCGAUUAGCUGGUUGGUGAGGUAACGGCCCACCAAGGCGACGAUCGGUAGCCGGACUGAGAGGUUGAACGGCCACAUUGGGACUGAGACACGGCCCAG